Long non-coding RNA from Rhagoletis zephyria (snowberry fruit fly), 291 nucleotides. RefSeq lists it as uncharacterized. Lineage: Eukaryota; Metazoa; Arthropoda; Insecta; Diptera; Tephritidae. The record is from RefSeq and is a predicted model, not a curated record.
UCUGAAUUCGUCGCAAAUUUUGCGCAUACCGGGAGCAAAGAUGUUUACAAGCAAAAAAAAAAAUCCAUAUGUGCUGCGUAAACAACCCCAAAGCUUGGCUUAUUAUCUCUGGCGCACGCUCGUUUACCGCCGAAAAAAAAAAACAGAACUGUCCAAAGUCCAACCAGGAGGACCUUGCUUGAACUAAGUACAACUAACUUUAUAAUCGUUUGACGUCAAUUGAUUUGCCGCGCGAGACACAUUUUUGCGGUGGUGGAGAAGAUUUCCUUAGUAGCAGCUCGGAAGCUUAUC